GGGACCUUAGCUCAGCUGGGAGAGCGCCCGCCUCACACGCGGGAGGUCGUCGGUUCAAGCCCGGCAGGUCCCACCA
RNAcentral lists this transfer RNA (76 nucleotides) under Clostridiaceae bacterium. RNAcentral describes it as "tRNA-Val". It matches the Rfam family "tRNA". From Rfam's summary of the family: Transfer RNA (tRNA) molecules are approximately 80 nucleotides in length. Lineage: Bacteria; Bacillati; Bacillota; Clostridia; Eubacteriales; Clostridiaceae. The record is from RNAcentral.